UGGGGAAUAUUGCACAAUGGGCGAAAGCCUGAUGCAGCGACGCCGCGUGAGGGAUGACGGCCUUCGGGUUGUAAACCUCUUUCAGCAGGGAAGAAGCGAAAGUGACGGUACCUGCAGAAGAAGCGCCGGCUAACUACGUGCCAGCAGCCGCGGUAAUACGUAGGGCGCAAGCGUUGUCCGGAAUUAUUGGGCGUAAAGAGCUCGUAGGCGGCUUGUCACGUCGGAUGUGAAAGCCCGAGGCUUAACCUCGGGUCUGCAUUCGAUACGGGCUAGCUAGAGUGUGGUAGGGGAGAUCGGAAUUCCUGGUGUAGCGGUGAAAUGCGCAGAUAUCAGGAGGAACACCGGUGGCGAAGGCGGAUCUCUGGGCCAUUACUGACGCUGAGGAGCGAAAGCGUGGGGAGCGAACAG
Molecule: ribosomal RNA, 408 nt
Filed under: uncultured bacterium
Lineage: Bacteria
Description: bacterial SSU rRNA
Rfam family: Bacterial small subunit ribosomal RNA
Source: RNAcentral